Molecule: long non-coding RNA, 1221 nt
Filed under: Homo sapiens (human)
Lineage: Eukaryota; Metazoa; Chordata; Mammalia; Primates; Hominidae
Description: long non-coding RNA NONHSAT169598.1
Source: RNAcentral
UUUGUCACAAUGUGACAGUAUCUUUCCACUUUCCCCCUACUCCUGAAUGUCUAAAGAACUCUCAAUGCAUAUUAGCCAUCACCAUGGUUGAGACCCAGACCUCUGCAGAGACAAUCUUGAUCCUCUGGCUCCUGCUUCACAUUGCCCAUUCACCCUCAGCACUGAAAUCCUUACCUCAAGCGCUGGGAAUUCAGGCCAUGGAAGAUUAGGAGGCUCACAGCAGUGGAAUGCUGCUCCAAGAAGAAUUCUGAUUACAUUUUUCCAUGUCGUUGUUAUGGAAGCUGUAUCUAUAUAAAGUGGGAAGAUGCCAAUAAGGGUCCUUGCUCCUUGAGUGUAAGCUCCCCUAUCUUUAAUCUCUCUGUUGGUCUAGAAGGGAGCAAGUUAUCCUUCAAGAUUCAGGACGAUUCUGAACUCCCCGAGAGCGGCAACCCAUAUCUUAACUCUCUUUGCAUCAACAGAGCCCAAUACAAUGCCUGGCACAGUUGACUGCUUCUAUGCUGGACAGUGAGCCCAAGAAAAGGGUGGUCUCAUGGCAGAGAUAAAAGAGUCCCCAGGGAAUACUGAUAGCCUUUUUCCAAUAAAGCGAAAUCUAUUUGCAAUAAUAGUGAUCAGUCAGAUUUUACUGUAAGAAGGAAGAAAACAAGGAUCCUGCUAGAACAACAUGGAAACAGGCUGAUCUUAGGACCUACAACAAAGAGAUUUCUCACUGGCUUCCUGGUGGUUCAUUCAAUAGGGAAUUCCUGCAGCAAGUUGGAGGGAGGGAGGAGAAGCAGGGAGGCCACCUCCUGUCAAAGCUGGGACAUCUGAGAGACAGUGGUCACACAACAACUCAACUGCAUGUGCACCUAAAACAGUAGCUUAUUUUCUCUGACUGUUUCUUCUUCUUCUUCUUCUACUCCUUAUUCUUAUUCUUCUUUCUGAUUUACCAACCUACUGGGUAUCAGUGCAAAAAAUUAUUUUACUUGCGAAUUAAUGAUAUCACCACGUUUUCUUGCUUAAACUGUCUUUUUAGGUUAGCUGCACUGAUUCCAUGAACAGAGAUUCAUGCCACUGUGUAGUCUGCAACAAAGCAUUGAAGAUGGUUUCCAAUAUCCAGAUGGACAGGCUGACCAUGAGUGCAAAUCUUCUUGUCCUUAGGAAAAAAAACUUCAAAGGGUAGACAACAGCCAAAUACCGAUCAACGGCAAUGCAGGAAAGACACACACAGAGAUCCAAUAUUGG